UAGGGAAUUUUGCGCAAUGGGGGAAACCCUGACGCAGCAACACCGCGUGAAUGUUAAGCCCUUCGGGGUGUAAAGUUCUGUCAGUAGGGACGAAAUUUGACUGUACCUACAAAGGAAGCACCGGCUAACUCCGUGCCAGCAGCCGCGGUAAUACGGGGGGUGCAAGCGUUGUCCGGAAUCAUUGGGCGUGAAGCGUUCGUAGGCGGUAUAUCAAGUCUGGUGUUAAAGCCCGGGGCUCAACUCCGGCUCGGCACUGGAUACUGGUAAACUAGAAUGCGGUAGAGGUAAGGGGAAUUCCUGGUGUAGCGGUGAAAUGCGUAGAUAUCAGGAAGAACUCCAAUUGCGAAGGCAGCUCACUAGACUGCAACUGACACUGAGGCUCGAAAGUGUGGGUAUCAAACA
Molecule: ribosomal RNA, 402 nt
Filed under: uncultured bacterium
Lineage: Bacteria
Description: bacterial SSU rRNA
Rfam family: Bacterial small subunit ribosomal RNA
Source: RNAcentral